RNAcentral lists this ribosomal RNA (445 nucleotides) under uncultured bacterium. RNAcentral's name for it is "bacterial SSU rRNA". It matches the Rfam family "Bacterial small subunit ribosomal RNA", at positions 354 to 796 of the family's 1533-position model. The record is from RNAcentral.
GUAAGGAAUAUUGGACAAUGGACGCAAGUCUGAUCCAGCCAUGCCGCGUGAAGGAUUAAGGUCCUCUGGAUUGUAAACUUCUUUUAUAAGGGACGAAAAAAGGCUUUUCUAAGUCGUCUGACGGUACCUUAUGAAUAAGCACCGGCUAACUCCGUGCCAGCAGCCGCGGUAAUACGGAGGGUGCAAGCGUUAUCCGGAUUCACUGGGUUUAAAGGGUGCGUAGGCGGGCAGGUAAGUCAGUGGUGAAAUCCUAGAGCUUAACUCUAGAACUGCCAUUGAUACUAUCUGUCUUGAAUAUUGUGGAGGUAAGCGGAAUAUGUCAUGUAGCGGUGAAAUGCUUAGAUAUGACAUAGAACACCUAUUGCGAAGGCAGCUUACUACGCAUAUAUUGACGCUGAGGCACGAAAGCGUGGGGAUCAAACAGGAUUAGAAACCCGUGUAGUCC